CACCCACUCCCUAAAGGACAUUUGAAAGAGGAGUCCCCGGGCUGCUUUGCUUCAGGGAGAGAAUGGACCAGAGUUGAGUCCAGAGUAGACAGGCCAAGUGCUUGCCUGAGUAGCCAAUGAACUGUCACAUCUGAGAUCUAGAAUGACUGCUCAUUGGAGUGAGAAAAAAUGAAUGCAAAAGUUCGCCUUGUUGACAGUAUCAUCAUCUCCCUUUCCUACUGGCACAUAAUCGGGAAUUUGAGCCUCAAGAAGCCAGCGACUUAGACCAGCUCCCCUAGAAACAGACCCUGACUAAGGAUUCAAGCAAAAGUAGUUUACUAAGAAGAGAUCCCAGGAAGCACAAAAGGAGUAGUCAAGAAGUGAAACAAAAAGAGAUUUUAAGCACUCUGUGUGGGAAAAAGAAAAGUGUCUUAUUCAACUCCGUACUCUCUUCCGCAAGCUUCAUAAGAUACAACAGCAUCAAGCAGGGCACUUCCCACAUGCCACAGAGAAAAGGCCAUGUGAGGACACAGCAAGAAGGUGGCCAUUGGCAAACCAAGAAGAGAGCCCUCACCAGGAACCCAACUAACCAGCAUCUUGAUCAUGGACUUGUAGCCUCCAGAACUAUGAGAAAAUAAAUGUCUGUUGUUUAAGCCACCCAGUCUGUUUUUGUCAUGGCAGCCUGAGCAGACUAAUAUAGUUUAUUUGUCUAUUGUUUUCACUGCCAACCAGUAUCCACCUCCUCCUCCUCCUCCUCAACUGGUAAUGAUUUUCCUUUGGUUAUUCACCCAACUCCCAGGCAACCUAUGUGAUUCAAGGUGGAACCAAUGGCUCAGACAUAAAUAAAUCAACAUAAUUCCAAUCCCUGCCCACACUGAUUUGUUCAAGGAUGAGCAUGUGACCAUAAAGCUGGCCUGAUCAAAACGAAGUCUAUGAUGUGUGUUCGAAGGUUGACAUAAGCCGUAAUUUUCUUUUCUGCUGGAUGGGCAUCUGGAGGAUAUAGCAUCAAGAGUGGAUGAAAGUCAUCUGUCCUGCAACCAUAAGACAAAUGUUUGUCUUCAAGUUGAGCCACCCAAAUGGAAAAGAGCCAAAAGAUGGAUCCUGGCCACAGUGUUUGGGCCUUGCAUCAAGCCACAUACAAGCUUGUAUUUACUCCUGGAUGGUAUAUUUAUGUGAAACAAUAA
This 1163-nucleotide long non-coding RNA is filed under the name Homo sapiens (human). RNAcentral's name for it is "HSALNT0151189". Lineage: Eukaryota; Metazoa; Chordata; Mammalia; Primates; Hominidae. The record is from RNAcentral.